RNAcentral lists this ribosomal RNA (465 nucleotides) under Vreelandella stevensii. Its description in RNAcentral is "partial 16S ribosomal RNA". It matches the Rfam family "Bacterial small subunit ribosomal RNA", at positions 338 to 795 of the family's 1533-position model. Lineage: Bacteria; Pseudomonadati; Pseudomonadota; Gammaproteobacteria; Oceanospirillales; Halomonadaceae. The record is from RNAcentral.
CCUACGGGUGGCAGCAGUGGGGAAUAUUGGACAAUGGGCGAAAGCCUGAUCCAGCCAUGCCGCGUGUGUGAAGAAGGCCUUCGGGUUGUAAAGCACUUUCAGUGGGGAAGAAAGCCUUGGGGCUAAUACCCUCGAGGAAGGACAUCACCCCCAGAAGAAGCACCGGCUAACUCCGUGCCAGCAGCCGCGGUAAUACGGAGGGUGCGAGCGUUAAUCGGAAUUACUGGGCGUAAAGCGCGCGUAGGCGGUCUGAUAAGCCGGUUGUGAAAGCCCCGGGCUCAACCUGGGAACGGCAUCCGGAACUGUCAGGCUAGAGUGCAGGAGAGGAAGGUAGAAUUCCCGGUGUAGCGGUGAAAUGCGUAGAGAUCGGGAGGAACACCAGUGGCGAAGGCGGCCUUCUGGACUGACACUGACGCUGAGGUGCGAAAGCGUGGGUAGCAAACAGGAUUAGAUACCCCAGUAGUC